GGUUUGGUGGGCAUUUAUCCUGUUCCUUUAUCUGCUGAGUAUUCCUCUGUCUCUUCAUCUUGUUUAAAUUGCUGAGUUUGGGGUGUCCUUUCUGUAUUCUGGCAGUUUGUGGAGUUCUCUUUAUUAUGGCGUUUCCUCACUGUGUGUGGGUUUGUACAGGUGGCUUGUCAAGGUUUCCUGGUUAGGGAAGCUUGUGUCGGUGUUCUGGUGGGUGGAGCUGUAUUUCUUCUCUCUGGAGUGCAAUGAAAUGUCCAGUAAUGAGUUAUGAGAUGUCUAUAGUUUUGGGGUGACUUUGGGCAGCCUGUAUCUUGAAGCUCAGGACUGUGUUCCUUUGUUGCUGGAGAAUUUGCUUGGUAUGUCUUGCCCUGGAACUUAUUGGCCCUUGUGUGGUGCUUGGUUUCAGUGUCGGUAUGGAGGCAUUUGAUGAGCUCCUGUCAAUGAAUGUUCCUUGGAGUCAGGAGUUCCCUGGAGUCAGGGUUUGGACUUAAGUCUCCUGCUUCCGAUUAUCAGUCUUAUUUUUACAGUAGUUUCAAAACUUCUCCUUCUAUACAGCACCAUUGAUAAAACAUCUACAUUAAAGAUGAUAAGUUUCUCUACAGUGAGGGUCACUCAGAGAGGUUCACAGGGUUACAUGGAGAAGAGAAGAGGGAGGAAGGAGUUAGAGGUGACCCAAAUGAGAUGAGGUGAAUCAAUAGUGGAGAGAGUGGGCUAGCCAGUAGUCACUUCCUUAUGUGCACUCCACAACUGGACCACUCAGAGAUGUUCACGGGGUUCUCUUCUCACAGAGAAGAGAAGAAGGAGGAAGGUAACAGAGGUGGCCAGAAGGAUAAAAGGGGGGAAUGAAAAGGAGGGAGACAGAUCCAGCCAGUAAUCAGUUCCCUAAGUGUUCUCCACCGUCUGGAACACACAGAAAUUCACAGAGUUGGGUAGAGUAGAGAGGGGUUAGGGAGGAGACACAGGCGACCUGGUGGAGAAAAAGGAGGGUCCAAAGGGAGAGAGAGCAGUCAAGCCAGUAAUCUCACUCCCUAGUGAAAAAUGGGUCCUGAAGAUUGGGUCCUUAAAGGUACAAAAUUGGUAACAAAUACAUAAAAGCAAAAAUUAAAAAUCUAGAGUAGAGUUUGGAAUUUCAAAAAUACGAUGUUAAAGAAAAGAAGAAGGAAAAGAAAGAGAGAAAGAACGAACAAACAAAAACAAACAAGGUCGCGAAAAUUAUAAAGAAAGUACAGGUACAAAAUUGAUAACUAAUACCAGAGAGCGAAAAUUAAAAAUCUAGAGUAGAGUUUGGAAUUUCAAAAAUACGAUGUUAAAGAAAAGAAGAAGGAAAAGAAAGAGAGAAAAAACGAACAAACAAAAACAAACAAGGUCACGAAAAUUAUAAAGAAAGUACAGGUACAAAAUUGAUAACUAAUACCAGAAAGCAAAAAUUAAAAAUCUAGAGUAGAGUUUGGAAUUUCAAAAAUACAAUGUUAAAAAAAAAAAAAAAGAAGAAGAAGAAAAAUAAAGAGAGAAAACAAACAAACAAAUACGAACAAUGUCACAAAAAUUAUAAAGAAAAUACAGGUACAAAAUUGAUAUCAAAUACCAAAAAGCAUAAAUUGAAAAUCUAGAGUAAAGUUUGGAAUUUCAGAUAUACAAUGUUAUAUAAAAGAAGAAGAGAAAGAAACAGAGAAGAAGAAGAAAAAAAAAAUCACAGAAAUUAUAUAAAAAAAAACUGUAGGUACAAAAUUGAUAACAUAUACCAAAAAGCGAAAAUUAAAAAUCUAGAGUAGAGUUUGGAAUUUCAAAAAUACAAUGUUAAAGAAAAGAAGAAAAAAACAAAAACAAACAACAACAACAAAAAAAAACAAGGUCAAAAAAUUAUAAAAUAUAUAUAUAUGAAGUUUGCUGAAGAAGAAAAAAAUAGGGUCUUUUUUUUUUUUUUGCAAAGUAAUAGGUUAUAAAAGUGAAAAUUAAAGGAACAAUAGAGGACUUAAAAAUUUUUUUUUUAAUUAAAAAAAAAAAAGAAAGAAUGAUCGUAAAAAUAAUAAAAAUAUAUCUAGGACUUUUUUGUUUCUUUUUUUGUGGGUGUUGUGGGUUCAGUUCAUUUUUGGCUAGUUCCUUGGUCAGAUUUAUAUUUCUCAAGAUCUAUAGGCCCCUUCCUAUGUAGUCCGUAGUAACCACAGGGUUUUGAUCUAUUGCCUGUAGCUUCCAAGGCGUUUCCCUCUGUUAUAUCUUCUUCUGUUUGCUAGUCUCUUCAGUAUCUGGUUUCCGCCCUGACUCAAAGGGCACGGUGGAGGACACUUUUUUUUUUUUUUUUUUUUUUUUAGGCUUACUUGUUCAGUCGCGCUGUGGGGAGGGAGGGAGGGAUGCUGCAAACAAAUAACACUGGCGUGGGCUCGCAGUGCCUCAGCCACCCUGGGUCUGCCCCCGCUCACGGCGCGUGUAGCCUCCCUGUCCACACUGCUCGGACUCUAGGUUGUUCCGUCGGGAACAAUCCGAGGCUGGCCCUGGGCUGCAUGCACCUCCCAGGUCCAAGCCGCUCAGGUUCAGGCACUCGGGUAGUCCUCGGAGGCGCAGACUCAGUUGGGCCUGCGUUUUGUACUCUUCCCAGGUCCGAGCGCCAAUUUGCUCUUCCCAGGCGAGCGCCAAUGCUGCGACUUAUCGCCUCCCCGCCACUCGGUUAUCUGGAUGUAAAACCGGCGCACCUUCUCAGGCAGAUGUUGACCGUCCAGACCCCCAAGAAGUUUUAGUUAGCAAAGAAGCCUGCUUACAAUUUUAUAGAUAAUGUCUCUCUGGGGCUGCGAUUGCCCCCUUCCGGCUCUGGCUGCCUGUCUCCGGAGGGGGAAGGUCUGCAGCCGGCUAUCUCUGUUCAGUCCUUUGUUCCGUGCGCGGGCCUGGCGGUCUUAGGUUAGGGCUGGCUUUUUGCGUGGUAGGUAUCCCACAGUCUGGUUUGCUAGCCCAAAUUAUUUCGCUCAGAUAGCGCUCAGGGUAUUCAGGCCAGAUUCUUACUCUCAGCGAUGCAGCCCACGCCGCGCCUCCCUGCCCAGCCCCGAUUCGCUAAUGGCGGAUGCAGGCGUCUGCGCUGCUUCUCUGCUGGGGGAGUUACCGUAGGGCUCGCAAUCUGCGAGUUUUAAAUUGUUUAUUUAUUUUUUCUCCCUGUUAUGUUGCCCUCUGUGCUUCCAAAGCUCGGCACAGAUUCGGCAGUGAGAAGGUUUCCUGAUGUUUGGAAACUUCUCUCUUUUUAAGAUUCCCUUCCCGGGACGGAACUCCGUCCCUCCCUCUUUUGUCUCUUUUUUUUUGUUUUU
Long non-coding RNA from Bos taurus (domestic cattle), 3284 nucleotides. The record is from Ensembl. Lineage: Eukaryota; Metazoa; Chordata; Mammalia; Artiodactyla; Bovidae.